AGAGAACGGACGGUACUUUGGAACAGGAAUAAUUACUAAAAAUUUCCCUUUGUUCUGGUUGCAGCCUCCCUAAGCAACCUUCUGAUAGCUGAUGUGUUUUCCUAGAGAAAGGCAGAGUGUCACGUGCAGAGUCUUGGAAGCUUGACGAGCCUACUUUCUCCUACAAAUGGACCUCAAGAACUUGCAUGGAAGUUCUAGCUGCGGCUCAGCUACCUGCAUCCCCUUGACCGAAGAACCGUUCUCCUCUAUCGGGGUACGACGUGUUUCCUGAGAGCCAACUGGAGCAAUGCCAAACUCUGCCCAAGAGGAUGGGUCAUGGACACCAACGGAGAGCUGUGUGACACAGAUCCCGGGAAGCCUGGGGAAAAACGCUUUGCCAGGUAACGGGAGCAGCCGAAUGUUCCCGAUGGAGGCCUCGGAGGAGUCCCCUGG
This is a long non-coding RNA of Rhinolophus ferrumequinum (greater horseshoe bat), 432 nucleotides long. RefSeq lists it as uncharacterized. The record is from RefSeq and is a predicted model, not a curated record. The transcript has 3 exons. NCBI's taxonomy places the organism in Eukaryota, Metazoa, Chordata, Mammalia, Chiroptera, Rhinolophidae.